GCAUGGCUGUCGUCAGCUCGUGUCGUGAGAUGUUGGGUUAAGUCCCGCAACGAGCGUAACCCUCACCCUUAGUUGCCAGCGGGUUAAGCCGGGCACUUUAAGGAAACUGCCAGUGGUAAACUGGAGGAAGGUGGGGAUGAUGUCAAGUCAGCAUGGCCCUUAUGGGGUGGGCUACACACGUGCUACAAUGGUGACUACAAUAGGUUGCAAUGCCGUAAGGCUGAGCUAAUCCGUAAAAGUCAUCUCAGUUCGGAUUGUCCUCUGCAACUCGAGGGCAUGAAGUAGGAAUCGCUAGUAAUCGUGGAUCAGCAUGCCACGGUGAAUACGUUCUCGGGUCUUGUACACACUGCCCGUCACGCCAUGGGAAUUGGCUUAACUCGAAGCUGGUGCGCCAACCGAAAGGAGGCAGCC
Molecule: ribosomal RNA, 411 nt
Filed under: Anaplasma platys
Lineage: Bacteria; Pseudomonadati; Pseudomonadota; Alphaproteobacteria; Rickettsiales; Anaplasmataceae
Description: bacterial SSU rRNA
Rfam family: Bacterial small subunit ribosomal RNA
Source: RNAcentral